This 639-nucleotide long non-coding RNA is filed under the name Homo sapiens (human). RNAcentral describes it as "HSALNT0352774". Lineage: Eukaryota; Metazoa; Chordata; Mammalia; Primates; Hominidae. The record is from RNAcentral.
AGUCCACUGGAGUGGGAGUUUCCAAAUCAGAUGUGUCAGCUUUUCCUAACAACUCGCAGAGUGAUUAAAGAAUUUUAAAGCAAGUAAUUUCACUGUGACUCCCCUAGGUUAUGAGCAGCCCAAGAGGAGGAACAAUGGUAGCUCCAGAAGUUCUAACAGGAAGAGGAAAGGGUCAGAGAUUUUAUUAAGAAAAGAAUUUUGGAGGAGUAAUCAGCGGAUUUGACUUGAAACAAUAGCUGCAGAAUAUGUUUAAUUUUGAAGAUCUACACUUUUAUUUCAGAGAAGUAUGGAGGGGCACAAUGAGUAAAUACAAAUGUUUGGUCCACUAUCUUGGAUCAGAAGGCUAGCCGAACAUCUUGGAUUCCACUGAGCUAAUUGACAUUGUAUAAUAAUGAAAAAAAUAAACAAAUUUCUCAAGACUCAAAAUAUCUAAGAAUGUAGGUCAAGAACAUUUAAGAGGGGGAAGAUGGGUGUAAAUAUCUGAGAACAUUCUGGGGAAAGGAGUUACAGUGAUGAACAAAGAAGACAUAUUUGAGAAGUGAAGAAUACAGACAACAGGAAUAAGAAAGAGCCUACUGCUGAGUUAAAACACCUCUUCAUAAUUACUUCCAAGAGAUAGGAUCUUGUUCUGUUGCCCAG